UGGGGAAUCUUGCGCAAUGGGCGGAAGCCUGACGCAGCAACGCCGCGUGCGGGAAGAAGGCCUUAGGGUCGUAAACCGCUUUCAGGGGGGACGAAGCUUCCGGGGUUAAUAGCCUACGGGUGACGGUACUCCCAAAAGAAGGUCCGGCUAACUACGUGCCAGCAGCCGCGGUAAUACGUAGGGACCGAGCGUUGUCCGGAUUUAUUGGGCGUAAAGAACUCGUAGGUGGUUUGUUACGUCGGAUGUGAAACUCUGGGGCUCAACCCCAGACCUGCAUCCGAUACGGGCAGACUAGAGUGUGGUAGGGGAGACUGGAAUUCCUGGUGUAGCGGUGGAAUGCGCAGAUAUUAGGAGGAACACCGGUGGCGAAGGCGCCACUCUGGACUGAAACUGACGCUGAGGAGCGAAAGCAUGGGUAGCAAACAGG
This 427-nucleotide ribosomal RNA is filed under the name uncultured bacterium. RNAcentral's name for it is "bacterial SSU rRNA". It matches the Rfam family "Bacterial small subunit ribosomal RNA", at positions 355 to 776 of the family's 1533-position model. The record is from RNAcentral.